GGUGCUGUAGCUCAGUGGUAGAGUGUGAGCCUUGAACACAAAGAGGCUCAAGGACAGCGCCU
RNAcentral lists this transfer RNA (62 nucleotides) under Dipodomys ordii (Ord's kangaroo rat). It matches the Rfam family "tRNA". Rfam says of the family: Transfer RNA (tRNA) molecules are approximately 80 nucleotides in length. The record is from Rfam by way of RNAcentral. Lineage: Eukaryota; Metazoa; Chordata; Mammalia; Rodentia; Heteromyidae.